GGUUGGGCCCCGCACGGUUGAACCCCGUGAACCCCGUCAGGUCCGGAAGGAAGCAGCGGCAGCGGGACUUCGGCGCGUUGCGGAUAUGUCCGGCCCGG
Molecule: signal recognition particle RNA, 98 nt
Filed under: Mariprofundaceae bacterium
Lineage: Bacteria; Pseudomonadati; Pseudomonadota; Candidatius Mariprofundia; Mariprofundales; Mariprofundaceae
Description: signal recognition particle sRNA small type
Rfam family: Bacterial small signal recognition particle RNA
About the family: The signal recognition particle (SRP) is a universally conserved ribonucleoprotein involved in the co-translational targeting of proteins to membranes. Archaeal SRP consists of a 7S RNA and homologues of the eukaryotic SRP19 and SRP54 proteins.
Source: RNAcentral